This 474-nucleotide ribosomal RNA is filed under the name Amnirana occidentalis. Its description in RNAcentral is "partial 16S ribosomal RNA". It matches the Rfam family "Bacterial large subunit ribosomal RNA", at positions 1844 to 2535 of the family's 2925-position model. Lineage: Eukaryota; Metazoa; Chordata; Amphibia; Anura; Ranidae. The record is from RNAcentral.
UAUAAGAGGUCCAGCCUGCCCAGUGACAUAGUUUAACGGCCGCGGUACUCUGACCGUGCAAAGGUAGCAUAAUCAUUUGUUCUUUAAAUAAGGACUUGUAUCAACGGCAUCACGAGAGCUAUACUGUCUCCUUUUUUCAAUCAGUGAAACUAAUCUCCCCGUGAAGAAGCGGGGAUUAAACUAUAAGACGAGAAGACCCCAUGGAGCUUUAAGCAGCAUACUCACCUCAUACUUCUAUUUUCCUCACAAUAAAAUUCCUGAGUACCAGCUUUAGGUUGGGAGGACCACGGAGUAAAAAUUAACCUCCAAGACAAAUGGGCUUCGCCCUUAUCCACGAACAACAAUUCUAAGAAUUAUUAUACUAAUGCUCAAUGACCCGAUAAUUCGAUCAACGAACCAAGUUACCCUGGGGAUAACAGCGCAAUCUACUUUGAAAGCCCCUAUCGACAAGUGGGUUUACGACCUCGAUGUUGG